UCUCAGAGCCUCUCAUGUCGAGCUCAGUGACUUUUAUAUUAUUUCUGUAUAAACAAGCCAUAUUCUGCAGCAUUACAUUAAAGUCAUUGCUUUACCUUCUUCUUGUUAUGUUUUAAAGUGUGUUGUGUGCUUGCAUGUUGCUUUCCAUUGUUAAUCAUGUAAUGCACACAUGUUAAAACACAGCGUGCUUUCAAAGGAAAAUAACAAAGUGCAAACAUGUACUUGUCGAACACAGUGAAUAUAGUGACAGUUUAGUUCUGAGUGAAAACCUUCUUCCUCAUUCCCAGCUGUGAGGUGGCUCAACACAGGAUGCCCUGGUUAACGAGUCAGGGUGCUGGCUCGCCGUAGCAGGUGUGUGACAGCACACAGCUACACAGCAGCAGUGUGAAGCAACGAUUACAACCACACUUUGUUUCCAUCUGGUUUGUGCUCUUGUGAGAUUUAGUCAAACUGUGUGUAUCUGGAUGGCGUUUGGACCACAGCAUUUGAACAACAGUAUCUCUUCUCAUCUUGACCUUUGACCUCUUCUGGACCAUUCAAUGCAGGAUUUAAGUGACACAUCCAUCAACGAGGUGUGGUGUACUGCCACCUGCUGGUAGGAAGUGUCGGGAUAGCCGGUGUAAAAAGACAACAGUGGAGAGCAAACGUUAAACAAUGGAGAGAAAAAUGUGGAGGAGAUCGAGGAAAGUCCCAUGGAGAUUUGAGGAGGAGGGUGGACAGGAGGAGACCAGAGGAGUGUCGCCAUCUCAACCACCAGCUGGUGAUGCCCCUCGUAGCCGGUCGCCGCAUCGCCAAGAGGCCUGGAAAACGGUUGCGGACCCUGACAUUUGGAGAAGGGUUAAAAGUUCACGUGGACUGACAUCACCGCGCCGGAGCUGACGACGUACCUGGGCGUGCUGCUGUUUAUGUCCGUGUGCAACCUCCCGAAACUGUCCGACUUCUGGAGGAAGAAAAGCAUUUUUUUCGUGUGCCCUUCCUGGCUUCGGUCAUGUCCAGAGACAGGUUCAGGUUCAUCGCCUCCAACUUGCGGUCAAUGACCAGAAAAGGGGGACGGAGGACUAUGACCCCUUGCAAAAGGUCAGAUCUCUCCUGGAGAUAAUCAGAAACCGCUGCAAGGCCGUUUACCAUCCGAGGCAGAACAUCUCCGUGGACGAGAGGAUGGUUGCCGCAAAGGCUCGGCUCUCACUAAAACAAUGUAUGAAGGCCACGCCGAUGACGUGGGGGCUCAAAUUCUUCGCGUUGGCCGAUGUGAAUGGGUACACGGUUGACUACAAGCUGUACCCGGGGAAGAACCACAGGGCUUCAGGGAAGGGGCUCGCAUUUGACGUGGUGACGGAGCUGGUGAACAAGGACCAUCUGGGGAGUGGCUACAUUGUCUACUGUGACCAUUUUUACACCAGCCCUGUCCUGUUACGCCAUCUGAGCCAGCAGGGGUUUGGGGCUUGUGGUACUUACAGGGAGGGCAGAGUUGGUGCCCCAACGACUCGGGAGAAUGCCCUGGACAGAAAAUCAAAGCGAGGCUCCAUCAGGUGGAUCCGGGAUGGUGACCUGCUCUUUGUAAAAUGGAUGGACACCAGGGAGGUCUCCGUCUGCACGACCGUCCAUCCCGUACACACAGGGGAGACUGUCCUGCGCUGGCAGAAGACCGUCGACGGGCCGGUUCGGAGGGUCCCCGUCCCCAGACCCACAGCUGUGGGUGACAGGUACGUGGGGGGGGAGGUGGUGGACGCCUCUGACCAGAUGCCGGGAGCGAACUCGGUGCACAGAAAAACAAAGAGGUGGCCCGUGACAGUUUUUCAGCACCUUCUGGACAUCGCGGUGACGAACAGCUUCGUGGUGCACAAGGAGCUCAGCGUGACGCAGGGCAAGAGGCCGAUGACGCGCCAGGCCUUUCAGGAGGAGCUGUGUGCAAAGAUGCUCGGCGUGCCACUGGCCGGCCCGCCUAAGCCCCCCGCCCAAGGCCACUUUCCCGUCCCCACCAACAAAAGAGAGGAGACUAAGAGAAGGAAGAGGGCAAGCAUGGGCAGGAAGCAGUGUACCGUCUGCCAUAAAAGCACUCCCUGGAUGUGUGAGGAGUGCCAGGUUGGGCUCUCCAGCUGGACAGGAACUGCUUCAGGGACUUCCACCACGGCCUGGAAAUGGACUAACAUAACCAACCUGUAAAGCACGGACUCCGAAAAAAGCUCUACGGCAAACACAACCGUUUAAGAUGUUACAAUAUUUGUGUAAACUCCAAAGUUUUCUUUGUGUUUUUAUUUCGAAAUUGUUUAGAAAGAGAAACUUGAUGAAAAUUCAUACACGUUUUGUUGUACUAUUUGUCAUUUAAAAUGUGAAAAAAAUGAACCUUACCUUCAGCAGCAGGUUCCCCUCUAAAUGGAAUAUAUCUGAAAUGUCCGAGCGGUCCCUGAAGGCGACGUGUGUGUAGGGGGCGUGGUCAGGCGACUCCUCGGGUAGAUAUCCGGUUUCCGUAGACUGAAGGUGCGGCGCGACACUUUUCCGGUUCACGCUCAGAAGAACUUCCUGUUGGUGUCAUGG
Cyclopterus lumpus (lumpfish) is the source of this 2535-nucleotide RNA transcript. It is a transcript of the gene named annexin A3a, with no coding region annotated. NCBI's taxonomy places the organism in Eukaryota, Metazoa, Chordata, Actinopteri, Perciformes, Cyclopteridae. The record is from RefSeq and is a predicted model, not a curated record. The transcript is spliced from 5 exons.